UGCGUAGGCGGUUCCGUAAGUUUGGUGUGAAAUCUCCCGGCUUAACUGGGAGGGUGCGCCGAAAACUGCGGGGCUGGAGUGUGGGAGAGGUAAGCGGAAUUCCUGGUGUAGCGGUGAAAUGCGUAGAUAUCAGGAGGAACACCGGCGGUGUAGACGGCUUACUGGACCAUGACUGACGCUGAGGCACGAAAGCGUGGGGAGCAAACAGGAUUAGAUACCCUGGUAGUCCACGCCCUAAACGAUGCACACUUGGUGUGAGCGAUUCAUUUCGUUCGUGCCGGAGCUAACGCGUUAAGUGUGCCGCCUGGGGAGUACGGUCGCAAGGCUGAA
RNAcentral lists this ribosomal RNA (330 nucleotides) under uncultured Acidobacteriota bacterium. RNAcentral's name for it is "bacterial SSU rRNA". It matches the Rfam family "Bacterial small subunit ribosomal RNA", at positions 568 to 898 of the family's 1533-position model. The record is from RNAcentral. Lineage: Bacteria; Pseudomonadati; Acidobacteriota.